ACGCGGAUAAGGGAAAAGGAAAAGGUAGGGGAGGAGGUGACGUCAACGGGACGACGAAGGGGAAGGGGAGGAGCCGCUCCGCGGAGUGCUCGCGGCGUUCCCUCCACCGAUCAUGCCGCUCCGCGGCGCGGGUGUGCUCGCGGCGCUCCAGUUCCCGUCGUUUCCCAUCGUAGUCCGUUAUGCCACUCCACGUCGUUGGCGUGCCCGAGGCGCUCAAAGUCCCGGCCUUCGCCGGUUAUGCCGCUCCGACACGGACAAGCCGCGGGCAUGCCGGAACGAGGACACGGAGGAUGGACUCGACCUGGAGGGGGGCACGCAGCAGGGGUGGGCGUAGUGGUUCGAAGGGUUGCCACAGGCGUUGAGGCGCAGCGGAGUCUCCUACAGGUCCUCCUCCUUAACUAAGAGUCUGGUGUUUUUGUUGUCUUGUUGUCCCUACUAUAAGUUCAACUGUAUAGAGGUAUCUCUUAGAUUGGAGAGGUCCCUAUUCAUUCUACUUUUUGUUGGUAACUUUCGCGGUGUUUCAUAAAGUUUCUUUGUAUUAUAGUUUGCCUCAGGUUUGCCUUACUUUGGAAGCCCUAGCACUAAAAGGUUGGCUUACACUGGGUCCUCUGAACCUGGGAUGAGGUUCGUCACGGGCUCCUCCAGUGCUCCCACCUCUCGCGGGGGGACCCGCGCGGGGGAUGGAGCACCCGGGGAGCCUCGAGGUGGCUGCAUGAGGAAGGAGGAUAUAUAUGGAUGCAUAGGGGCUUGUUAGUCUUGUCCUCGGUUUUUGGAUUAAGGUGGUGGCGUUGGAAGACAUAGGUGCUCUAGGGUAGAACCCCGGACAAGGCCUCGAGACGGCCUCCCCCGUAGGUGGUACCUCCCGAAGAUGUAGUAGUGGUAUCGGGGAGGCUACUUCACACUCAUCAAAUGAAGUCUGGAAGCCCAGGUAUCGAUCAUCGAUCUACCGAAGAAGAGAGAAAAACCUAGAGUUAUGUUACAAGGGGGGGAGAGAGCACCUCUAGAUAAGCUACAUUAGAAGAAAAACACCACACAAACAACUCUGGGCUACUUAACACCUAAAUACUAGGUCAUAAUA
Molecule: ribosomal RNA, 1078 nt
Filed under: Triticum aestivum (bread wheat)
Lineage: Eukaryota; Viridiplantae; Streptophyta; Magnoliopsida; Poales; Poaceae
Description: partial small subunit ribosomal RNA
Source: RNAcentral